GUGAGAGUGUGUGAUCUCAGACACUUCAAGGUGUGUGUUAGGUGAGAGUGUGUGUUCUGAGACACUACAGGGUGUGUGUUAGGUGAGAGUGUGUGUUCUGAGACACUACAGGGUGUGUGUUAGGUGAGAGUGUGUGAUCUGAGUCACUACACGGUGUGUGUUAAAGCAGAGUGUGUGUUCUGAGACACUACAGGGUGUGUUAGGUGAGAGUGUGUGAUCUGAUAGUACGGGUUGUGUUAGGUGAGAGUGUGUGAUCUGAGAUACUACGGGGUGUGUGUUAAAGCAGAGUGUGUGAUCUGAGAUACUACGGGGUGUGUGUUAGGUGAGAGUGUGUGAUCUGAGAUACUACGGGGUGUGUGUUCGGUCAGAGUGUGUGAACUGAAAGAACUGAUUCUGGAUCAGCUAUAUGGAGUUCCUCCACCGUCACACAGCUCAUUCACUAUCAGGUUCCUGUUCUCCACUCCACUUUCACAACAUUCAGAGGAUUGAGGUAAAUUGUUAUUGAAGUGAGUUCUUUAGCCCUAAUCUUCUAUUUUAAUGAAAUAGAAUUGAAGCAGGAACUGAUUACUCAAUAAUUCUGUAACUUGAUAACCCUAUAACUAAAGAAG
This is a long non-coding RNA of Ictalurus punctatus (channel catfish), 608 nucleotides long. The record is from Ensembl. NCBI's taxonomy places the organism in Eukaryota, Metazoa, Chordata, Actinopteri, Siluriformes, Ictaluridae.